GACGGCAAUAGAGCGAGAACUGAGUCCCCGGGUGGCUCCGCGGCCGGCGAGCCUCCUCCUGUGGCGGCCGCUGGCGGGACGCUGAAGCGACGGCUGUGGCGCGGGGCCAGCCCGGUGAGGAGCACGGAGACCUUAACAGAAAACCGCCAAGCAGGCCGAAGCAGUGACUCAACGUUCCCAUUCCCAGCUUUGGGGGUCAGAUCCGGAACCCUGCCCGCCCUCCACCCUUCCUCUUCACUUAAGGACAUGCCCUAGACUCCAGAGAGAACAUAUAUGCCUCUGGUGCUAAACCAUCAGGGAAUAUGAAAGUUAAUAGGCUACAUGUUCACAGAGAGCUUGCUACACUAAACCAGUUUCAAAGGCAGAGCUGCAAGGAGGCAUAAAGAAUGAGGCGCCCUCUGAGUCUAGGGAGUCGGUACUUCUUGCAUAGCCACCCAGACCGACCCUGCAGCUCCCCCGAGCUCACAAAGGUGUGAAUAUUCAGCCAAUCUCUUCUUUGCUUUAGUGUGUUAAAUAAAGGCUUUGGCAUCUUCCAUUGAGUAAAACGCAAUGUUCUGCUUUUGUACCCCUGGAUGGCGGGUAAAGCCACACCUGCAAAAAGAAGUCUGGUUGUCUGUAAAAAUACAAAUGACCACAAUUAGGUUGUCUCCUGCUUGCCUGAGGUGCAAGUUAGUAACCCAGAAAAUGUAAAACAAGAAGCCUCAUAGAACUUGCAACAAAUUUUUUUUUAAAAAAGAAAAAAAAGUCACCGUGUGAGAUGAUCUGUAAAUGUGUUACAGAGGCCAGAGUAGCUCCCAGAUUUCAUCAGUGAAAUAAGUCAUCUGUACCUUCAGUGUCACAUGCCUAGUUGAUGCUGUCAUAAAGGAAGGGUGGGGUCCAUAAAGAAUCUAGAACCAGCAGAAUCUGAAUAAGAAUGUAUUGUGGGCUUCCACUCUGUCCAGGAGAGAGGCUACUGAUUCUAAUGACCAGGAUCAAUACCUAUUAUCAGGACAGAGCACCUUGGAAAGCAGAGAAGACUAUGGAAACACCCCUCCCUCAUUCCCAUGUAGUCGUGCUAUCUUCAGAAGGGGUUACUUGGAUCCACUGGUCUAUCAGUUCAAGCCUCAAACCAUGAAGAAGUUUUGCUACUUAAAUGCAAGUUUCUCCUGCCCAUCUAGACCUAAGACAUGCUUGGCUCUUCUUAACUCUGAUAUUGGAUCUAGACAAGUAACCAACUCACAGAGUGGCUGAGAGAUUCACACCAGCACCCUUUUUUUUUAAUUGUUUUCAAAUGUAAAAAUAAUAUGUAAUAUUGGGAAUAUUCGUAACAUUUAGCAGAAUAAAGAAUAGGGGCGCCUGG
Molecule: long non-coding RNA, 1339 nt
Organism: Neofelis nebulosa (Clouded leopard)
Lineage: Eukaryota; Metazoa; Chordata; Mammalia; Carnivora; Felidae
Exons: 3
Source: RefSeq, a predicted model, not a curated record